AAUUAAGGUUGGAGCUAGGGUUAGGGUUAGGUGUGGGGUUGGAGCUAGGGUUAGGGUUAGGGUUAGGGUUGGAGUUAGGGUUAGUGUUGGAGCUAGGGUUAGGGUUGGGCUUGGAGCUAGGAUUUUUCUGAGUGCAAUGAACCAACUCCCGAGUCUCUAGGACGUUCCUAAAAAAUUUUGAUUUUUUCCCAUAGGAAUGCAUGGGUUAGGGUUAGGGUUAGGGUUGGAGCUAGGGUUAGGGUUAGGGUUAGGGUUGGAGUUAGGGUUAGUGUUGGAGCUAGGGUUAGGGUUGGGCUUGGAGCUAGGAUUUUUCUGAGUGCAAUGAACCAACUCCUGAGUCUCUAGGACGUUCCUAAAAAAAAUUUAUUUUUUCCCAUAGGAAUGCAUGGGUUAGGGUUAGGGUUAGGGUUGGAGCUGGGGUUAGGGUUAGGGUUGGAGUUAGGGUUAGGGUUAGGGUUAAGGUUGGAGCUAGGGUUAGGGUUAGGGUUAGGAUUAGGGUGGAGCAAGGGUUAGGGUUAGGGUUAGAGCUAGGGUUAGGGUUGGGGCUAGGGUUAGGGUUAGGGUUAAGGUUGGAGCUAGGGUUAGGGUUAAGGUUAGGGUUGGAGCUAGGGUUAGGGUUAGGGUUAGGGUUGGAGCAAGGGUUAGGGUUAGGGUAAGGGUUGGAGUUAGGGUUAGGGUUAGGGUUAAGGUUGGAGCUAGGGUUACAGUUAGGGUUAGGGUUAGGGUGGAGCUAGGGUUAGGGUUAGGGUUAAGGUUGGAGUUAGGGUUAGUGUUGGAGCUAGGGUUAGGGUUGGGCUUGGAGCUAGGAUUUUUCUGAGUGCAAUGAACCAACUCCCGAGUCUCUAGGACGUUCCUAAAAAAAUUUGAUUUUUUCCCAUAGGAAUGCAUGGGUUAGGGUUAGGGUUAGGGUUGGAGCUAGGGUUAGGGUUAGGGUUAGGGUUGGAGUUAGGGUUAGUGUUGGAGCUAGGGUUAGGGUUGGGCUUGGAGCUAGGAUUUUUCUGAGUGCAAUGAACCAACUCCUGAGUCUCUAGGACGUUCCUAAAAAAAUUUGAUUUUUCCCCAUAGGAAUGCAUGGGUUAGGGUUAGGGUUAGGGUUGGAGCUGGGGUUAGGGUUAGGGUUGGAGUUAGGGUUAGGGUUAGGGUUAAGGUUGGAGCUAGGGUUAGGGUUAGGGUUAGGAUUAGGGUGGAGCUAGGGUUAGGGUUAGGGUUAGAGCUAGGGUUAGGGUUGGGGCUAGGGUUAGGGUUAGGGUUAGGGUUAAGGUUGGAGCUAGGGUUAGGGUUAAGGUUAGGGUUGGAGCUAGGGUUAGGGUUAGGGUUAGGGUUAGGGUUGGAGCAAGGGUUAGGGUUAGGGUAAGGGUUGGAGUUAGGGUUAGGGUUAGGGUUAAGGUUGGAGCUAGGGUUAGGGUUAGGGUUAAGGUUGGAGCUAGGGUUAGGAUUAGGGUGGAGCUAGGGUUAGGGUUAGGAUUAGGGUUAGGGUUAGGGUUGGGGCUAGGGUUAGGGUUAGGGUUAGGGUUAAGGUUGGAGCUAGGGUUAGGGUUAGGGUUAGGGUUGGAGCUAGGGUUAGGGUUAGGGUUAGGGUUGGAGCUAGGGUUAGGGUUAGGGUUGGAGCUAGGGUUAGGGUUAGGGUUAGGGUUGGAGUUAGGGUUAGUGUUGGAGCUAGGGUUAGGGUUGGGCUUGGAGCUAGGAUUUUUCUGAGUGCAAUGAACCAACUCCUGAGUCUCUAGGACGUUCCUAAAAAAAUUUGAUUUUUUCCCAUAGGAAUGCAUGGGUUAGGGUUAGGGUUAGGGUUGGAGCUAGGGUUAGGGUUAGGGUUUGGGUUGGAGUUAGGGUUAGUGUUGGAGCUAGGGUUAGGGUUGGGCUUGGAGCUAGGAUUUUUCUGAGUGCAAUGAACCAACUCCCGAGUCUCUAGGACGUUCCUAAAAAAAUUUGAUUUUUUCCCAUAGGAAUGCAUGGGUUAGGGUUAGGGUUAGGGUUGGAGCUAGGGUUAGGGUUAGGGUUAGGGUUGGAGUUAGGGUUAGUUUUGGAGCUAGGGUUAGGGUUGGGCUUGGAGCUAGGAUUUUUCUGAGUGCAAUGAACCAACUCCCGAGUCUCUAGGACGUUCCUAAAAAAAUUUGAUUUUUUCCCAUAGGAAUGCAUGGGUUAGGGUUAGGGUUAGGGUUGGAGCUAGGGUUAGGGUUAGGGUUGGAGUUAGGGUUAGUGUUGGAGCUAGGGUUAGGGUUGGGCUUGGAGCUAGGGUUAGGGUUAGGGUUAGGGUUAGGGUUGGAGCUAGGGUUAGGGUUAGGGUUGGAGCAAGGGUUAGGGUUAGGGUAAGGGUUGGAGUUAGGGUUAGGGUUAGGGUUAAGGUUGGAGCUAGGGUUACAGUUAGGGUUAGGGUUAGGGUGGAGCUAGGGUUAGGGUUAGGGUUAAGGUUGGAGCUAGGGUUAGGGUUAGGGUGAGGAUUAGGGUGGAGCUAGGAUUAGGGUUAGGAUUAGAGCUAGGGUUAGGGUUGGGGCUAGGGUUAGGGUUAGGGUUAAGGUUGGAGCUAGGGUUAGGGUUAGGGUUAGGGUUGGAGCUAGGGUUAGGGUUAGGGUUAGGGUUGGAGCUAGGGUUAGGGUUAGGGUUAGGGUUGGCGCUAGGGUUAGGGUUAGGGUUAGGGUUGGAGUUAGGGUUAGUGUUGGAGCUAGGGUUAGGGUUGGGCUUGGAGCUAGGAUUUUUCUGAGUGCAAUGAACCAACUCCCGAGUCUCUAGGACGUUCCUAAAAAAAUUUGAUUUUUUCCCAUAGGAAUGCAUGGGUUAGGGUUAGGGUUAGGGUUGGAGCUAGGGUUAGGGUUAGGGUUAGGGUUGGAGUUAGGGUUAGUGUUGGAGCUAGGGUUAGGGUUGGGCUUGGAGCUAGGAUUUUUCUGAGUGUAAUGAACCAACUCCUGAGUCUCUAGGACGUUCCUAAAAAAAAUUGAUUUUUUCCCAUAGGAAUGCAUGGGUUAGGGUUAGGGUUAGGGUUAGGGUUGGAGCUAGGGUUAGGGUUAGGGUUAGGGUUGGAGUUAGGGUUAGUGUUGGAGCUAGGGUUAGGGUUGGGCUUGGAGCUAGGAUUUUUCUGAGUGUAAUGAACCAACUCCUGAGUCUCUAGGACGUUCCUAAAAAAAUUUGAUUUUUUCCCAUAGGAAUGCAUGGGUUAGGGUUAGGGUUAGGGUUAGGGUUUGAGCUAGGGUUAGGGUUAGGGUUAGGGUUGGAGUUAGGGUUAGUGUUGGAGCUAGGGUUAGGGUUGGGCUUGGAGCUAGGAUUUUUCUGAGUGCAAUGAACCAACUCCCGAGUCUCUAGGACGUUCCUAAAAAAAUUUGAUUUUUUCCCAUAGGAAUGCAUGGGUUAGGGUUAGGGUUAGGGUUGGAGCUAGGGUUAGGGUUAGGGUUAGGGUUGGAGUUAGGGUUAUUGUUGGAGCUAGGGUUAGGGUUGGGCUUGGAGCUAGGAUUUUUCUGAGUGUAAUGAACCAACUCCUGAGUCUCUAGGACGUUCCUAAAAAAAUUUGAUUUUUUUCCCAUAGGAAUGCAUUGGUUAGGGUUAGGGUUAGGGUUGGAGCUAGGGUUAGGGUUAGGGUUAGGGUUGGAGUUAGGGUUAGUGUUGGAGCUAGGGUUAGGGUUGGGCUUGGAGCUAGGAUUUUUCUGAGUGUAAUGAACCAACUCCUGAGUCUCUAGGACGUUCCUAAAAAAUUUUGAUUUUUUCCCAUAGGAAUGCAUGGGUUAGGGUUAGGGUUAGGGUUGGAGCUAGGGUUAGGGUUAGGGUUAGGGUUGGAGUUAGGGUUAGUGUUGGAGCUAGGGUUAGGGUUGGGCUUGGAGCUAGUAUUUUUCUGAGUGUAAUGAACCAACUCCUGAGUCUCUAGGACGUUCCUAAAAAAAUUUGAUUUUUUCCCAUAGGAAUGCAUGGGUUAGGGUUAGGGUUAGGGUUGGAGCUAGGGUUAGGGUUAGGGUUAGGGUUGGAGUUAGGGUUAGUGUUGGAGCUAGGGUUAGGGUUGGGCUUGGAGCUAGGAUUUUUCUGAGUGCAAUGAACCAACUCCCGAGUCUCUAGGACGUUCCUAAAAAAAGUUUGAUUUUUUUCCCAUAGGAAUGCAUGGGUUAGGGUUAGGGUUAGGGUUGGAGCUAGGGUUAGGGUUAGGGUUAGGGUUGGAGUUAGGGUUAGUGUUGGAGCUAGGGUUAGGGUUGGGCUUGGAGCUAGGAUUUUUCUGAGUGUAAUGAGCCAACUCCUGAGUCUCUAGGACGUUCCUAAAAAAAUUUGAUUUUUUCCCAUAGGAAUGCAUGGGUUAGGGUUAGGGUUAGGGUUGGAGCUAGGGUUAGGGUUAGGGUUAGGGUUGGAGUUAGGGUUAGUGUUGGAGCUAGGGUUAGGGUUGGGCUUGGAGCUAGGAUUUUUCUGAGUGCAAUGAACCAACUCCCGAGUCUCUAGGACGUUCCUAAAAAAAUUUGAUUUUUUCCCAUAGGAAUGCAUGGGUUAGGGUUAGGGUUAGGGUUGGAGCUAGGGUUAGGGUUAGGGUUAGGGUUGGAGUUAGGGUUAUUGUUGGAGCUAGGGUUAGGGUUGGGCUUGGAGCUAGGAUUUUUCUGAGUGUAAUGAACCAACUCCUGAGUCUCUAGGACGUUCCUAAAAAAAUUUGAUUUUUUCCCAUAGGAAUGCAUGGGUUAGGGUUAGGGUUAGGGUUGGAGCUAGGGUUAGGGUUAGGGUUAGGGUUGGAGUUAGGGUUGGGCUUGGAGCUAGGGUUAGGGUUGGGCUUGGAGCUAGGAUUUUUCUGAGUGUAAUGAACCAACUCCUGAGUCUCUAGGACGUUCCUAAAAAAUUUGAUUUUUUCCCAUAGGAAUGCAUGGGUUAGGGUUAGGGUUAGGGUUGGAGCUAGGGUUAGGGUUAGGGUUAGGGUUGGAGUUAGGGUUAGUGUUGGAGCUAGGGUUAGGGUUGGGCUUGGAGCUAGUAUUUUUCUGAGUGUAAUGAAGCAACUCCUGAGUCUCUAGGACGUUCCUAAAAAAAUUUGAUUUUUUCCCAUAGGAAUGCAUGGGUUAGGGUUAGGGUUAGGGUUGGAGCUAGGGUUAGGGUUAGGGUUAGGGUUGGAGUUAGGGUUAGUGUUGGAGCUAGGGUUAGGGUUGGGCUUGGAGCUAGGAUUUUUCUGAGUGCAAUGAACCAACUCCCGAGUCUCUAGGACGUUCCUAAAAAAAUUUGAUUUUUUCCCAUAGGAAUGCAUGGGUUAGGGUUAGGGUUAGGGUUAGGGUUUGAGCUAGGGUUAGGGUUAGGGUUAGGGUUGGAGUUAGGGUUAGUGUUGGAGCUAGGGUUAGGGUUGGGCUUGGAGCUAGGAUUUUUCUGAGUGCAAUGAACCAACUCCCGAGUCUCUAGGACGUUCCUAAAAAAAUUUGAUUUUUUCCCAUAGGAAUGCAUGGGUUAGGGUUAGGGUUAGGGUUGGAGCUAGGGUUAGGGUUAGGGUUAGGGUUGGAGUUAGGGUUAGUGUUGGAGCUAGGGUUAGGGUUGGGCUUGGAGCUAGGAUUUUUCUGAGUGCAAUGAACCAACUCCCGAGUCUCUAGGACGUUCCUAAAAAAAUUUGAUUUUUUUCCCAUAGGAAUGCAUGGGUUAGGGUUAGGGUUAGGGUUGGAGCUAGGGUUAGGGUUAGGGUUAGGGUUGGAGUUAGGGUUAGUGUUGGAGCUAGGGUUAGGGUUGGGCUUGGAGCUAGGAUUUUUCUGAGUGUAAUGAGCCAACUCCUGAGUCUCUAGGACGUUCCUAAAAAAAUUUGAUUUUUUCCCAUAGGAAUGCAUGGGUUAGGGUUAGGGUUAGGGUUGGAGCUAGGGUUAGGGUUAGGGUUAGGGUUGGAGUUAGGGUUAGUGUUGGAGCUAGGGUUAGGGUUGGGCUUGGAGCUAGGAUUUUUCUGAGUGCAAUGAACCAACUCCCGAGUCUCUAGGACGUUCCUAAAAAAAUUUGAUUUUUUCCCAUAGGAAUGCAUGGGUUAGGGUUAGGGUUAGGGUUGGAGCUAGGGUUAGGGUUAGGGUUAGGGUUGGAGUUAGGGUUAGUGUUGGAGCUAGGGUUAGGGUUGGGCUUGGAGCUAGGAUUUUUCUGAGUGCAAUGAACCAACUCCCGAGUCUCUAGGACGUUCCUAAAAAAAUUUGAUUUUUUUCCCAUAGGAAUGCAUGGGUUAGGGUUAGGGUUAGGGUUGGAGCUAGGGUUAGGGUUAGGGUUAGGGUUGGAGUUAGGGUUAGUGUUGGAGCUAGGGUUAGGGUUGGGCUUGGAGCUAGGAUUUUUCUGAGUGUAAUGAGCCAACUCCUGAGUCUCUAGGACGUUCCUAAAAAAAUUUGAUUUUUUCCCAUAGGAAUGCAUGGGUUAGGGUUAGGGUUAGGGUUGGAGCUAGGGUUAGGGUUAGGGUUAGGGUUGGAGUUAGGGUUAGUGUUGGAGCUAGGGUUAGGGUUGGGCUUGGAGCUAGGAUUUUUCUGAGUGCAAUGAACCAACUCCCGAGUCUCUAGGACGUUCCUAAAAAAAUUUGAUUUUUUCCCAUAGGAAUGCAUGGGUUAGGGUUAGGGUUAGGGUUGGAGCUAGGGUUAGGGUUAGGGUUAGGGUUGGAGUUAGGGUUAUUGUUGGAGCUAGGGUUAGGGUUGGGCUUGGAGCUAGGAUUUUUCUGAGUGUAAUGAACCAACUCCUGAGUCUCUAGGACGUUCCUAAAAAAAUUUGAUUUUUUCCCAUAGGAAUGCAUGGGUUAGGGUUAGGGUUAGGGUUGGAGCUAGGGUUAGGGUUAGGGUUAGGGUUGGAGUUAGGGUUGGGCUUGGAGCUAGGGUUAGGGUUGGGCUUGGAGCUAGGAUUUUUCUGAGUGUAAUGAACCAACUCCUGAGUCUCUAGGACGUUCCUAAAAAAUUAAUUUUUUCCCAUAGGAAUGCAUGGGUUAGGGUUAGGGUUAGGGUUGGAGCUAGGGUUAGGGUUAGGGUUAGGGUUGGAGUUAGGGUUAGUGUUGGAGCUAGGGUUAGGGUUGGGCUUGGAGCUAGUAUUUUUCUGAGUGUAAUGAAGCAACUCCUGAGUCUCUAGGACGUUCCUAAAAAAAUUUGAUUUUUUCCCAUAGGAAUGCAUGGGUUAGGGUUAGGGUUAGGGUUGGAGCUAGGGUUAGGGUUAGGGUUAGGGUUGGAGUUAGGGUUAGUGUUGGAGCUAGGGUUAGGGUUGGGCUUGGAGCUAGGAUUUUUCUGAGUGCAAUGAACCAACUCCCGAGUCUCUAGGACGUUCCUAAAAAAAUUUGAUUUUUUCCCAUAGGAAUGCAUGGGUUAGGGUUAGGGUUAGGGUUAGGGUUUGAGCUAGGGUUAGGGUUAGGGUUAGGGUUGGAGUUAGGGUUAGUGUUGGAGCUAGGGUUAGGGUUGGGCUUGGAGCUAGGAUUUUUCUGAGUGCAAUGAACCAACUCCCGAGUCUCUAGGACGUUCCUAAAAAAAUUUGAUUUUUUCCCAUAGGAAUGCAUGGGUUAGGGUUAGGGUUAGGGUUGGAGCUAGGGUUAGGGUUAGGGUUAGGGUUGGAGUUAGGGUUAUUGUUGGAGCUAGGGUUAGGGUUGGGCUUGGAGCUAGGAUUUUUCUGAGUGUAAUGAACCAACUCCUGAGUCUCUAGGACGUUCCUAAAAAAAUUUGAUUUUUUCCCAUAGGAAUGCAUGGGUUAGGGUUAGGGUUAGGGUUGGAGCUAGGGUUAGGGUUAGGGUUAGGGUUGGAGUUAGGGUUAGUGUUGGAGCUAGGGUUAGGGUUGGGCUUGGAGCUAGGAUUUUUCUGAGUGUAAUGAACCAACUCCUGAGUCUCUAGGACGUUCCUAAAAAAUUUUGAUUUUUUCCCAUAGGAAUGCAUGGGUUAGGGUUACGGUUAGGGUUGGAGCUAGGGUUAGGGUUAGGGUUAGGGUUGGAGUUAGGGUUAGUGUUGGAGCUAGGGUUAGGGUUUGGCUUGGAGCUAGUAUUUUUCUGAGUGUAAUGAACCAACUCCUGAGUCUCUAGGACGUUCCUAAAAAAUUUUGAUUUUUUCCCAUAGGAAUGCAUGGGUUAGGGUUAGGGUUAGGGUUGGAGCUAGGGUUAGGGUUAGGGUUAGGGUUGGAGUUAGGGUUAGUGUUGGAGCUAGGGUUAGGGUUGGGCUUGGAGCUAGGAUUUUUCUGAGUGCAAUGAACCAACUCCCGAGUCUCUAGGACGUUCCUAAAAAAAUUUGAUUUUUUUCCCAUAGGAAUGCAUGGGUUAGGGUUAGGGUUAGGGUUGGAGCUAGGGUUAGGGUUAGGGGUUAGGGUUGGAGUUAGGGUUAGUGUUGGAGCUAGGGUUAGGGUUGGGCUUGGAGCUAGGAUUUUUCUGAGUGUAAUGAGCCAACUCCUGAGUCUCUAGGACGUUCCUAAAAAAAUUUGAUUUUUUCCCAUAGGAAUGCAUGGGUUAGGGUUAGGGUUAGGGUUGGAGCUAGGGUUAGGGUUAGGGUUAGGGUUGGAGUUAGGGUUAGUGUUGGAGCUAGGGUUAGGGUUGGGCUUGGAGCUAGGAUUUUUCUGAGUGCAAUGAACCAACUCCCGAGUCUCUAGGACGUUCCUAAAAAAAUUUGAUUUUUUCCCAUAGGAAUGCAUGGGUUAGGGUUAGGGUUAGGGUUGGAGCUAGGGUUAGGGUUAGGGUUAGGGUUGGAGUUAGGGUUAGUGUUGGAGCUAGGGUUAGGGUUGGGCUUGGAGCUAGGAUUUUUCUGAGUGCAAUGAACCAACUCCCGAGUCUCUAGGACGUUCCUAAAAAAAUUUGAUUUUUUUCCCAUAGGAAUGCAUGGGUUAGGGUUAGGGUUAGGGUUGGAGCUAGGGUUAGGGUUAGGGUUAGGGUUGGAGUUAGGGUUAGUGUUGGAGCUAGGGUUAGGGUUGGGCUUGGAGCUAGGAUUUUUCUGAGUGUAAUGAGCCAACUCCUGAGUCUCUAGGACGUUCCUAAAAAAAUUUGAUUUUUUCCCAUAGGAAUGCAUGGGUUAGGGUUAGGGUUAGGGUUGGAGCUAGGGUUAGGGUUAGGGUUAGGGUUGGAGUUAGGGUUAGUGUUGGAGCUAGGGUUAGGGUUGGGCUUGGAGCUAGGAUUUUUCUGAGUGCAAUGAACCAACUCCCGAGUCUCUAGGACGUUCCUAAAAAAAUUUGAUUUUUUCCCAUAGGAAUGCAUGGGUUAGGGUUAGGGUUAGGGUUGGAGCUAGGGUUAGGGUUAGGGUUAGGGUUGGAGUUAGGGUUAUUGUUGGAGCUAGGGUUAGGGUUGGGCUUGGAGCUAGGAUUUUUCUGAGUGUAAUGAACCAACUCCUGAGUCUCUAGGACGUUCCUAAAAAAAUUUGAUUUUUUCCCAUAGGAAUGCAUGGGUUAGGGUUAGGGUUAGGGUUGGAGCUAGGGUUAGGGUUAGGGUUAGGGUUGGAGUUAGGGUUAUUGUUGGAGCUAGGGUUAGGGUUGGGCUUGGAGCUAGGAUUUUUCUGAGUGUAAUGAACCAACUCCUGAGUCUCUAGGACGUUCCUAAAAAAUUUGAUUUUUUCCCAUAGGAAUGCAUGGGUUAGGGUUAGGGUUAAGGUUGGAGCUAGGGUUAGGGUUAGGGUUAGGGUUGGAGUUAGGGUUAGUGUUGGAGCUAGGGUUAGGGUUGGGCUUGGAGCUAGUAUUUUUCUGAGUGUAAUGAAGCAACUCCUGAGUCUCUAGGACGUUCCUAAAAAAAUUUGAUUUUUUCCCAUAGGAAUGCAUGGGUUAGGGUUAGGGUUAGGGUUGGAGCUAGGGUUAGGGUUAGGGUUAGGGUUGGAGUUAGGGUUAGUGUUGGAGCUAGGGUUAGGGUUGGGCUUGGAGCUAGGAUUUUUCUGAGUGCAAUGAACCAACUCCCGAAUCUCUAGGACGUUCCUAAAAAAAUUUGAUUUUUUUCCCAUAGGAAUGCAUGGGUUAGGGUUAGGGUUAGGGUUGGAGCUAGGGUUAGGGUUAGGGUUAGGGUUGGAGUUAGGGUUAGUGUUGGAGCUAGGGUUAGGGUUGGGCUUGGAGCUAGGAUUUUUCUGAGUGUAAUGAGCCAACUCCUGAGUCUCUAGGACGUUCCUAAAAAAUUUUGAUUUUUUCCCAUAGGAAUGCAUGGGUUAGGGUUAGGGUUAGGGUUGGAGCUAGGGUUAGGGUUAGGGUUAGGGUUGGAGUUAGGGUUAGUGUUGGAGCUAGGGUUAGGGUUGGGCUUGGAGCUAGUAUUUUUCUGAGUGUAAUGAACCAACUCCUGAGUCUCUAGGACGUUCCUAAAAAAAUUUGAUUUUUUCCCAUAGGAAUGCAUGGGUUAGGGUUGGAGCUAGGGUUAGGGUUAGGGGUUAGGGUUGGAGUUAGGGUUAGUGUUGGAGCUAGGGUUAGGGUUGGGCUUGGAGCUAGGAUUUUUCUGAGUGCAAUGAACCAACUCCCGAGUCUCUAGGACGUUCCUAAAAAAAUUUGAUUUUUUUCCCAUAGGAAUGCAUGGGUUAGGGUUAGGGUUAGGGUUGGAGCUAGGGUUAGGGUUGGGCUUGGAGCUAGGAUUUUUCUGAGUGUAAUGAACCAACUCCUGAGUCUCUAGGACGUUCUGGUUAAUGAACCAACUCCUGAGUCUCUAGGACGUUCUAAAAAAUUUGAUUUUUUCCCAUAGGAAUGCAUGGGUUAGGGUUAGGGUUGGGCUUGGAGCUAGGAUUUUUCUGAGUGCAAUGAACCAACUCCCGAGUCUCUAGGACGUUCCUAAAAAAAUUUGAUUUUUUCCCAUAGGAAUGCAUGGGUUAGGGUUAGGGUUAGGGUUGGAGCUAGGGUUAGGGUUAGGGUUAGGGUUGGAGUUAGGGUUAGUGUUGGAGCUAGGGUUAGGGUUGGGCUUGGAGCUAGGAUUUUUCUGAGUGUAAUGAACCAACUCCUGAGUCUCUAGGACGUUCCUAAAAAAAUUUGAUUUUUUCCCAUAGGAAUGCAUGGGUUAGGGUUAGGGUUAGGGUUGGAGCUAGGGUUAGGGUUAGGGUUAGGGUUGGAGUUAGGGUUAGUGUUGGAGCUGGGGUUAGGGUUGGGCUUGGAGCUAGGAUUUUUCUGAGUGUAAUGAACCAACUCCUGAGUCUCUAGGACGUUCCUAAAAAAAUUUGAUUUUUUCCCAUAGGAAUGCAUGGGUUAGGGUUAGGGUUAGGGUUGGAGCUAGGGUUAGGGUUAGGGUUAGGGUUGGAGUUAGGGUUAGUGUUGGAGCUAGGGUUAGGGUUGGGCUUGGAGCUAGGAUUUUUCUGAGUGUAUUGAACCAACUCCUGAGUCUCUAGGACGUUCCUAAAAAAAUUUGAUUUUUUUCCAUAGGAAUGCAUGGGUUAGGGUUAGGGUUAGGGUUGGAGCUAGGGUUAGGGUUAGGGUUAGGGUUGGAGUUAGGGUUAGUGUUGGAGCUAGGGUUAGGGUUGGGCUUGGAGCUAGGAUUUUUCUGAGUGUAAUGAACCAACUCCUGAGUCUCUAGGACGUUCCUAAAAAAAUUUGAUUUUUUCCCAUAGGAAUGCAUGGGUUAGGGUUAGGGUUAGGGUUAGGGUUGGAGCUAGGGUUAGGGUUAGGGUUAGGGUUGGAGUUAGGGUUAGUGUUGGAGCUAGGGUUAGGGUUGGGCUUGGAGCUAGGAUUUUUCUGAGUGCAAUGAACCAACUCCCGAGUCUCUAGGACGUUCCUAAAAAAAUUUGAUUUUUUUCCCAUAGGAAUGCAUGGGUUAGGGUUAGGGUUAGGGUUGGAGCUAGGGUUAGGGUUAGGGUUAGGGUUGGAGUUAGGGUUAGUGUUGGAGCUAGGGUUAGGGUUGGGCUUGGAGCUAGGAUUUUUCUGAGUGUAAUGAACCAACUCCUGAGUCUCUAGGACGUUCCUAAAAAAAUUUGAUUUUUUCCCAUAGGAAUGCAUGGGUUAGGGUUAGGGUUAGGGUUGGAGCUAGGGUUAGGGUUAGGGUUAGGGUUGGAGUUAGGGUUAGUGUCGGAGCUGGGGUUAGGGUUGGGCUUGGAGCUAGGAUUUUUCUGAGUGUAAUGAACCAACUCCUGAGUCUCUAGGACGUUCCUAAAAAAAUUUGAUUUUUUCCCAUAGGAAUGCAUGGGUUAGGGUUAGGGUUAGGGUUGGAGCUAGGGUUAGGGUUAGGGUUAGGGUUGGAGUUAGGGUUAGUGUUGGAGCUAGGGUUAGGGUUGGGCUUGGAGCUAGGAUUUUUCUGAGUGUAUUGAACCAACUCCUGAGUCUCUAGGACGUUCCUAAAAAAAUUUGAUUUUUUUCCAUAGGAAUGCAUGGGUUAGGGUUAGGGUUAGGGUUGGAGCUAGGGUUAGGGUUAGGGUUAGGGUUGGAGUUAGGGUUAGUGUUGGAGCUAGGGUUAGGGUUGGGCUUGGAGCUAGGAUUUUUCUGAGUGCAAUGAACCAACUCCCGAGUCUCUAGGACGUUCCUAAAAAAAUUUGAUUUUUUUCCCAUAGGAAUGCAUGGGUUAGGGUUAGGGUUAGGGUUGGAGCUAGGGUUAGGGUUAGGGUUAGGGUUGGAGUUAGGGUUAGUGUUGGAGCUAGGGUUAGGGUUGGGCUUGGAGCUAGGAUUUUUCUGAGUGCAAUGAACCAACUCCCGAGUCUCUAGGACGUUCCUAAAAAAAUUUGAUUUUUUCCCAUAGGAAUGCAUGGGUUAGGGUUAGGGUUAGGGUUGGAGCUAGGGUUAGGGUUAGGGUUAGGGUUGGAGUUAGGGUUAGUGUUGGAGCUAGGGUUAGGGUUGGGCUUGGAGCUAGGAUUUUUCUGAGUGUAAUGAACCAACUCCUGAGUCUCUAGGACGUUCCUAAAAAAAUUUGAUUUUUUCCCAUAGGAAUGCAUGGGUUAGGGUUAGGGUUAGGGUUGGAGCUAGGGUUAGGGUUAGGGGGUUAGUUAGGGUUUGGAGCUAGGGUUAGGGUUGGGUUAGAUUUUUCUGAGUUAAUGAACCAACUCCUGAGUCUCUAGGACGUUCCUAAAAAAUUGAUUUUUUCCCAUAGGAAUGCAGUAGGUUAGGGUUAGGGUUGGAGCUAGGGUUAGGGUUAGGGUUAGGGUUGGAGUUAGGGUUAGUGUUGGAGCUAGGGUUAGGGUUGGGCUUGGAGCUAGGAUUUUUCUGAGUGUAAUGAACCAACUCCUGAGUCUCUAGGACGUUCCUAAAAAAAUUUGAUUUUUUCCCAUAGGGAAUGCUAGGGUUAGGGUUAGGGUUAGGUUGGAGUUAGGGUUAGUGUUGACUAGGGUUAGGGUUGGGCUUGGAGCUAGGAUUUUCUGAGGUUAGGGUUGGAGCUAGGGUUGGAGCUAGGGUUAGGGUUAGGGUUGGAGUUAGGGUUAGUGUUGGAGCUAGGGUUAGGGUUGGGCUUGGAGCUAGGAUUUUUCUGAGUGUAAUGAACCAACUCCUGAGUCUCUAGGACGUUCCUAAAAAAAUUUGAUUUUUUCCCAUAGGAAUGCAUGGGUUAGGGUUAGGGUUAGGGUUGGAGCUAGGGUUAGGGUUAGGGUUAGGGUUGGAGUUAGGGUUAGUGUUGGAGCUAGGGUUAGGGUUGGGCUUGGAGCUAGGAUUUUUCUGAGUGUAAUGAACCAACUCCUGAGUCUCUAGGACGUUCCUAAAAAAAUUUGAUUUUUUCCCAUAGGAAUGCAUGGGUUAGGGUUAGGGUUAGGGUUGGAGCUAGGGUUAGGGUUAGGGUUAGGGUUGGAGUUAGGGUUAGUGUUGGAGCUAGGGUUAGGGUUGGGCUUGGAGCUAGGAUUUUUCUGAGUGCAAUGAACCAACUCCCGAGUUCUCUAGGACGUUCCUAAAAAAAUUUGAUUUUUUCCCAUAGGAAUGCAUGGGUUAGGGUUAGGGUUAGGGUUAGGGUUGGAGCUAGGGUUAGGGUUAGGGUUAGGGUUGGAGUUAGGGUUAGUGUUGGAGCUAGGGUUAGGGUUGGGCUUGGAGCUAGGAUUUUUCUGAGUGCAAUGAACCAACUCCCGAGUCUCUAGGACGUUCCUAAAAAAAUUUGAUUUUUUCCCAUAGGAAUGCAUGGGUUAGGGUUAGGGUUAGGGUUGGAGCUAGGGUUAGGGUUAGGGUUAGGGUUGGAGUUAGGGUUAGUGUUGGAGCUAGGGUUAGGGUUGGGCUUGGAGCUAGGAUUUUUCUGAGUGUAAUGAGCCAACUCCUGAGUCUCUAGGACGUUCCUAAAAAAAUUUGAUUUUUUCCCAUAGGAAUGCAUGGGUUAGGGUUAGGGUUAGGGUUGGAGCUAGGGUUAGGGUUAGGGUUAGGGUUGGAGUUAGGGUUAGUGUUGGAGCUAGGGUUAGGGUUGGGCUUGGAGCUAGGAUUUUUCUGAGUGCAAUGAACCAACUCCCGAGUCUCUAGGACGUUCCUAAAAAAAUUUGAUUUUUUCCCAUAGGAAUGCAUGGGUUAGGGUUAGGGUUAGGGUUGGAGCUAGGGUUAGGGUUAGGGUUAGGGUUGGAGUUAGGGUUAUUGUUGGAGCUAGGGUUAGGGUUGGGCUUGGAGCUAGGAUUUUUCUGAGUGUAAUGAACCAACUCCUGAGUCUCUAGGACGUUCCUAAAAAAAUUUGAUUUUUUCCCAUAGGAAUGCAUGGGUUAGGGUUAGGGUUAGGGUUGGAGCUAGGGUUAGGGUUAGGGUUAGGGUUGGAGUUAGGGUUAGUGUUGGAGCUAGGGUUAGGGUUGGGCUUGGAGCUAGGAUUUUUCUGAGUGCAAUGAACCAACUCCCGAGUCUCUAGGACGUUCCUAAAAAAAUUUGAUUUUUUUCCCAUAGGAAUGCAUGGGUUAGGGUUAGGGUUAGGGUUGGAGCUAGGGUUAGGGUUAGGGUUAGGGUUGGAGUUAGGGUUAGUGUUGGAGCUAGGGUUAGGGUUGGGCUUGGAGCUAGUAUUUUUCUGAGUGUAAUGAGCCAACUCCUGAGUCUCUAGGACGUUCCUAAAAAAAUUUGAUUUUUUCCCAUAGGAAUGCAUGGGUUAGGGUUAGGGUUAGGGUUGGAGCUAGGGUUAGGGUUAGGGUUAGGGUUGGAGUUAGGGUUAGUGUUGGAGCUGGGGUUAGGGUUGGGCUUGGAGCUAGUAUUUUUCUGAGUGUAAUGAACCAACUCCUGAGUCUCUAGGACGUUCCUAAAAAAAUUUGAUUUUUUCCCAUAGGAAUGCAUGGGUUAGGGUUAGGGUUAGGGUUGGAGCUAGGGUUAGGGUUAGGGUUAGGGUUGGAGUUAGGGUUAGUGUUGGAGCUAGGGUUAGGGUUGGGCUUGGAGCUAGGAUUUUUCUGAGUGCAAUGAACCAACUCCUGAGUCUCUAGGACGUUCCUAAAAAAAUUUGAUUUUUUCCCAUUGGAAUGCAUGGGUUAGGGUUGGAGCUAGGGUUAGGGUUAGGGUUAGGGUUGGAGUUAGGGUUAGUGUUGGAGCUAGGGUUAGGGUUGGGCUUGGAGCUAGGAUUUUUCUGAGUGUAAUGAACCAACUCCUGAGUCUCUAGGACGUUCCUAAAAAAAUUUGAUUUUUUCCCAUAGGAAUGCAUGGGUUAGGGUUAGGGUUAGGGUUGGAGCUAGGGUUAGGGUUAGGGUUAGGGUUGGAGUUAGGGUUGGGCUUGGAGCUAGGGUUAGGUUUGGGCUUGGAGCUAGGAUUUUUCUGAGUGUAAUGAACCAACUCCUGAGUCUCUAGGACGUUCCUAAAAAAAUUUGAUUUUUUCCCAUAGGAAUGCAUGGGUUAGGGUUAGGGUUAGGGUUGGAGCUAGGGUUAGGGUUAGGGUUAGGGUUGGAGUUAGGGUUAGUGUUGGAGCUAGGGUUAGGGUUGGGCUUGGAGCUAGGAUUUUUCUGAGUGCAAUGAACCAACUCCUGAGUCUCUAGGACGUUCCUAAAAAAAUUUGAUUUUUUCCCAUAGGAAUGCAUGGGUUAGGGUUAGGGUUAGGGUUGGAGCUAGGGUUAGGGUUAGGGUUAGGGUUGGAGUUAGGGUUAGUGUUGGAGCUGGGGUUAGGGUUGGGCUUGGAGCUAGUAUUUUUCUGAGUGUAAUGAACCAACUCCUGAGUCUCUAGGACGUUCCUAAAAAAAUUUGAUUUUUUCCCAUAGGAAUGCAUGGGUUAGGGUUAGGGUUAGGGUUGGAGCUAGGGUUAGGGUUAGGGUUAUGGUUGGAGUUAGGGUUAGUGUUGGAGCUAGGGUUAGGGUUGGGCUUGGAGCUAGGAUUUUUCUGAGUGUAAUGAACCAACUCCUGAGUCUCUAGGACGUUCCUAAAAAAAUUUGAUUUUUUCCCAUUGGAAUGCAUGGGUUAGGGUUGGAGCUAGGGUUAGGGUUAGGGUUGGAGUUAGGGUUAGUGUUGGAGCUAGGGUUAGGGUUGGGCUUGGAGCUAGGAUUUUUCUGAGUGUAAUGAACCAACUCCUGAGUCUCUAGGACGUUCCUAAAAAAUUUUGAUUUUUUCCCAUAGGAAUGCAUGGGUUAGGGUUAGGGUUAGGGUUGGAGCUAGGGUUAGGGUUAGGGUUAGGGUUGGAGUUAGGGUUAGUGUUGGAGCUAGGGUUAGGGUUGGGCUUGGAGCUAGGAUUUUUCUGAGUGUAAUGAACCAACUCCUGAGUCUCUAGGACGUUCCUAAAAAAUUUUGAUUUUUUCCCAUAGGAAUGCAUGGGUUAGGGUUAGGGUUAGGGUUGGAGCUAGGGUUAGGGUUAGGGUUAGGGUUGGAGUUAGGGUUAGUGUUGGAGCUAGGGUUAGGGUUGGGCUUGGAGCUAGGAUUUUUCUGAGUGUAAUGAACCAACUCCCGAGUCUCUAGGACGUUCCUAAAAAAAUUUGAUUUUUUUCCCAUAGGAAUGCAUGGGUUAGGGUUAGGGUUAGGGUUGGAGCUAGGGUUAGGGUUAGGGUUAGGGUUGGAGUUAGGGUUAGUGUUGGAGCUAGGGUUAGGGUUGGGCUUGGAGCUAGGAUUUUUCUGAGUGUAAUGAACCAACUCCUGAGUCUCUAGGACGUUCCUAAAAAAAUUUGAUUUUUUCCCAUAGGAAUGCAUGGGUUAGGGUUAGGGUUAGGGUUGGAGCUAGGGUUAGGGUUAGGGUUAGGGUUGGAGUUAGGGUUAGUGUCAGAGCUGGGGUUAGGGUUGGGCUUGGAGCUAGGAUUUUUCUGAGUGUAAUGAACCAACUCCUGAGUCUCUAGGACGUUCCUAAAAAAAUUUGAUUUUUUCCCAUAGGAAUGCAUGGGUUAGGGUUAGGGUUAGGGUUGGAGCUAGGGUUAGGGUUAGGGUUAGGGUUGGAGUUAGGGUUAGUGUUGGAGCUAGGGUUAGGGUUGGGCUUGGAGCUAGGAUUUUUCUGAGUGUAAUGAACCAACUCCUGAGUCUCUAGGACGUUCCUAAAAAAAUUUGAUUUUUUUCCAUAGGAAUGCAUGGGUUAGGGUUGGAGCUAGGGUUAGGGUUAGGGUUAGGGUUGGAGUUAGGGUUAGUGUUGGAGCUAGGGUUAGGGUUGGGCUUGGAGCUAGGAUUUUUCUGAGUGCAAUGAACCAACUCCCGAGUCUCUAGGACGUUCCUAAAAAAAUUUGAUUUUUUUCCCAUAGGAAUGCAUGGGUUAGGGUUAGGGUUAGGGUUGGAGCUAGGGUUAGGGUUAGGGUUAGGGUUGGAGUUAGGGUUAGUGUUGGAGCUAGGGUUAGGGUUGGGCUUGGAGCUAGGAUUUUUCUGAGUGUAAUGAGCCAACUCCUGAGUCUCUAGGACGUUCCUAAUAAAAUUUGAUUUUUUCCCAUAGGAAUGCAUGGGUUAGGGUUAGGGUUAGGGUUGGAGCUAGGGUUAGGGUUAGGGUUAGGGUUGGAGUUAGGGUUAGUGUUGGAGCUGGGGUUAGGGUUGGGCUUGGAGCUAGGAUUUUUCUGAGUGUAAUGAACCAACUCCUGAGUCUCUAGGACGUUCCUAAAAAAAUUUGAUUUUUUCCCAUAGGAAUGCAUGGGUUAGGGUUAGGGUUAGGGUUGGAGCUAGGGUUAGGGUUAGGGUUAGGGUUGGAGUUAGGGUUAGUGUUGGAGCUAGGGUUAGGGUUGGGCUUGGAGCUAGGAUUUUUCUGAGUGUAAUGAACCAACUCCUGAGUCUCUAGGACGUUCCUAAAAAAAAUUGAUUUUUUCCCAUAGGAAUGCAUGGGUUAGGGUUGGAGCUAGGGUUAGGGUUAGGGUUAGGGUUGGAGUUAGGGUUAGUGUUGGAGCUAGGGUUAGGGUUGGGCUUGGAGCUAGGAUUUUUCUGAGUGCAAUGAACCAACUCCCGAGUCUCUAGGACGUUCCUAAAAAAAUUUGAUUUUUUUCCAUAGGAAUGCAUGGGAAAAAAAAUUUGAAAAAUUUUCUAAGUGCCAACCCAAUUUUUCACCUUCCAGAAUUGUGUUAGGAGCACGUUUCAGGGCACGGGGAGUCUAUAGAACCUAAUUCUGGGGGAAGUUUUUUGAAAAGUUUACUUAGGGUUUGGGUUAGGGUUAGGGUUGGAGCUAGGGUUAGGGUUAGGGUUAAGGUUGGAGCUAGGGUUAGGGUUAGGGUUGUAGCCAGGGUUAGGGUUAUAGGGUUAGAGCUAGGGUUAGGGUUAGGGUUGGGGCUAGGGUUAGGGUUAGGGUUAGGGUUAAGAAUAAUAAAUAUGGUAUGUUAAAAAAUGCCAUAGUAUAGUUUAAUUCCUAUUAAAAUUUAGGUACAAAUAAAAUGUCAUAGUAUAGUAAGAUAAAAAUGUCAAAUCUUAGAAAGAAGAUAAUAUUGCGAAGUAUGGUAAAAAGGAGUAUAGUAUGGAGUAUAGUAUGAUGAAAAUUUCAAAUUUAGGCAUGAAAUAAAUGUCAUAGUAUAGUAUUGGAAAAAUGUCAAAGUAUAGUACGAUAAAAUUAAAACAUUUUUAUUUCAAAAUAAAAUUAAGACUUAAGAAUAAUAAAUAUGGUAUGCAAAAAAAUUGUCAUAGUAUAGUUUGUCAAAAAAUGUCAUGUCAAAUUUAAAUAAAAUUAAAAAUGAUGAAUAUCUGUGUGUGUUAAAAAAUGCCAUAGUAUAGUUGAAUUCAUAUUAAAAUUUAGGAAUUAAUAAAAAGUCAGAGUAUAGUAUGAUAAAAAUGUCAAAUUUUAGUAAAAAAAAAAUAUAUAUAUAUAUAUAUAUAUAUAUAUUGCCAAGUAUGGUAAAAAUAAAAUGUCAGAGUAUAGUAGGAUAAAAGUGUCAAAAUUAGAAUUUUUUUUAAUUGUAAAGUAUGUCAAAAAAUGUCAUGGUUUAGUAAGAUAAAAAAAAGUUGUCAUUCAGGUAUGAAUAAAAUGUCAUAGUAUAGUAUGAUAAAAAUUUCAAAUUUAAGAAAGUAUGAAAACAUGUCAUAAAUAGUGCGAUAAAAAUGUUGAAUUUAAGUUUGUUAAAAAAUGUAUAGUUUGUAAAAAAAAUGUCAGUCGGUAUCAUUAAAAAUUCAAAUUUUAGCAUGAAAAAAUUGUCAUAGUAUAGUAUAAGAAAAAUGUCAAAGUAUAGUAUGAUAAAAUUAGAAAUUUUUAGUGUGAAAAAAUGUCAUAGUUUAGUAUGUUAAAAAUGUCAAAGUAUAAUUUUUUUUUAAGAGAUUAUGGUAAAAAUUUUUAAUAAAAUUAGGAAUUAUAAAUAUGGUAUGUUUAAAAAAUGCCAUAGUAUAGUUUAAUUCAUAUUAAAAUUUAGGAAUUAAUAAAAUAUCAGAGUUUAGUAUAAUAAAAAUGUCAAAUCUUAGAAAGAAAAAAAAAAUCUUCAUAGUAUAGUUUGUCAAAAAAUUUCAUAAUAUAGUAUGAAAAAAUUUAUAAUUUAAGUAUGAAUAAAAUGUCAUAGUAUAGUAUGAUAAAAAUGUCAAAUUUUAAAAUGAAAAAAAAAAAUGUCAGCUGCAGUUUAAGCUUUUUAUUCAUAAUUUUCUAGGAGGAGAUACCUUUUGAAAGAAGCUUUUAAAAUGGGUGAUAAUCUUAAAAUGCAAAUGUUAGAACUAAUAUGGCCGACUUCAACUUGGGCAUGGCCUAUGGGUUACAGAAGCUAUGUUGAUUUUGUUAAGGUCCUUCAUAAGUGUCCCAAAUUUCAUAGCUGUAGGUGAAACACAGGGGAGGGGCUUAAUUUUUGAAUUAAGUGUACCAAAUUUUAUGUGGCUUUCCAUAUCUAUAGCAAUAUAUCGAAAUGACAGAUUUUUUUUUUUGAGACAUUUCAUAGCGCCAUUUCAUUACCAAUAACAAAAAUAGAGAACUCCUGCUAUUUCAAUAGGGCAAUUGCCUGCUGUGUCGGCGCGGCCCCCCAAUUGUGCUGCACCCUCGCUGACGACUGCUCUGUCACCAAUCAUAAAUUACUAUAAACACCAGUGUGUAUAGUGAGAAGAGAUGGGGGGGCAGAGUUUAAGGACAACCUCUGUAGGGCCUGGAUCAUCUCUGAGAGUUUGACAGGACUACUUACCUGGAGGUUUUAGGAAUAAAAACAACACCCAGGACAGAAUAAACAGACAAGUUGUGCCUGCAACAUACACACAACUUUACCUGUAAGCUCAUUAGACGAAAACGCUGUAGCUCAUCCCUCUUUUCAGCAUCCCAACCAAGACAGAUCCCUCACCCUUGGUACAAAGCGCAAUUAAACCCGAGCAGACGAAUAUAGCGCAGGCGGUGUAAUCUUUCUGAAUCACCUGGAAAGUCAAGAAGAUAAAAACCACUGCUCUUCUUUCUUCCUUACUGCAACGCCGGUGUGUCGUAAGGAACUAGGUUGGCCUCUUCAGCAUGUUUACUCGCAGCCAAGUACAAAUUAACCUCCCAAGAUCAACAAUAAACCUAAUUAGAGUUGUGUUCUGCAGCACACAUCUCUAAACACAGAUCACAGCUUGUUGAGAGAUGAAUCUCCAUCUGUCUGGCUGCACACUGGGAGGAGGAGAGACUCGGAGAAGAUCAGUCCCAAGAUUGCAGAACGAAGCGUUGUGUGUUUAUGUGUGUGUGUUUCAGAGAGUGAGAGAGGCCCUCGUGGCACAGGGUUACUUCCUCAUGUCAGCCUUUAUUUUAUGAUGUCAUGCUGCAGCAGCGAAGUGGGACAUGGCACAUGCAGGGAGAGCACGCUAUUGGAUUUGAGCAUGUUUAAGGGGGGUGUAUUGAGGGGGUUGGCGUUAUACUAAGAGGCUAGGACAGGAACAGCUCUGACCUGCCAUUUGAACCUCACUCCUGGGAUUCAGACAGGGGAGGCUCACGUCAGUUGAGAAAGAGCAGACUUGACGCAGCUCUCUGUUUCAUGUGCAGACGCAAACACAGAGAUGAAUUUCAGUGGAGUAAAAUCUGCUUUCACAUCGAUUUGUUUAAGAUCAGAUUGCCUGUAACACAAUCAGACACAGCACUUGUUUUUGUGACCAUGAAAUUGACAGAAAACAUUUCCCUGCUUAUCUUUUUAAUUCCUUAUGUAUCAAAUAAUCGACAAAAAUUGAAUUUCUAUGCUGUAUUUUCUCAUUUUCCAACUUAGGCAGAGGGAAUUUAUGGUCAUAGAGGGUUUUUUUUAGGUCCAGAAAAAGAUUAAAUAGGGCAAUUUUCUUGGAUAUGUGUUAUCUAACUCUGUAUUAAUUUCCCUAAGCUGCUGUUGGACAUGACAGCAUUAUCACUUUGCCUCUGUCACUGUGCGAGAUAAAGCAGUAGGGACACCCAGGUCCAAAUAUGUUGCUUUUAUAGGUAGUAGCUGUCCCAUUCAUCAUGUGCUAACACCGAGAGCUCUCUGUAAUCCCUGUCCAUAAGUCAAUGUAGGGCAGGUAUCUUCGGCCC
Molecule: non-coding RNA, 21478 nt
Organism: Xyrichtys novacula (pearly razorfish)
Lineage: Eukaryota; Metazoa; Chordata; Actinopteri; Labriformes; Labridae
Source: the annotation of a GenBank genome assembly